AAUAAACACAACCAUAAAUUUCCGUGUCCAAUUUAGAUCCUCUGUCUUAUUUGAAUUUUUUUAGAUUAGUAUUUUUAUCGUUAUUAGGUUAUAAAAUAUGAAUAGUAAUUUAUACGUGACUUAUGUUUUUAAUUUUUUUUACAAAAAAUUUAAGUAAGAUAGACGAUUAAAGCUAGAUACGAAAACUUAUGGCAACAAUCAGU
This is a non-coding RNA of Oryza meridionalis, 203 nucleotides long. Lineage: Eukaryota; Viridiplantae; Streptophyta; Magnoliopsida; Poales; Poaceae. The record is from Rfam.